Molecule: transfer RNA, 72 nt
Filed under: Bos taurus (domestic cattle)
Lineage: Eukaryota; Metazoa; Chordata; Mammalia; Artiodactyla; Bovidae
Also listed under: 4 other names
Rfam family: tRNA
About the family: Transfer RNA (tRNA) molecules are approximately 80 nucleotides in length. Their secondary structure includes four short double-helical elements and three loops (D, anti-codon, and T loops).
Source: Rfam by way of RNAcentral
UCCCUAGUGGCUCAGCUGGUAAAGAAUCCGCCUGCAAUGCGGGAGACCUGGGUUCGAUUUCUGGCUUGGGAA